Molecule: ribosomal RNA, 482 nt
Filed under: uncultured bacterium
Lineage: Bacteria
Description: bacterial SSU rRNA
Rfam family: Bacterial small subunit ribosomal RNA
Source: RNAcentral
UUGAACGCUGGCGGAAUGCUUUACACAUGCAAGUCGAGCGGCAGCGCGGGGGCAACCCUGGCGGCGAGCGGCGAACGGGUGAGUAACAUAUCGGAACGUACCCUAUCGUGGGGGAUAACACAUCGAAAGAUGUGCUAAUACCGCAUACGACCUGAGGGUGAAAGCAGGGGAUCGCAAGACCUUGCGCGACAGGAGCGGCCGAUAUCGGAUUAGCUAGUUGGUGAGGUAAAGGCUCACCAAGGCGACGAUCCGUAGCUGGUCUGAGAGGACGACCAGCCACACUGGAACUGAGACACGGUCCAGACUCCUACGGGAGGCAGCAGUGGGGAAUUUUGGACAAUGGGGGCAACCCUGAUCCAGCCAUUCCGCGUGCAGGAUGAAGGCCUUCGGGUUGUAAACUGCUUUUGUACGGAACGAAAAAGUCUUCUCUAAUACAGGGGGCGAAUGACGGUACCGUAAGAAUAAGCACCGGCUAACUACGU